GCAGUCCGUGAGGAUGCGUACGGAGGAUGUGAAGGCAAACCCCGGAACAGGCGGCACAACCAUGUUGGCUGGCAAGAUCGGACGACCCUGCCAACAAAGGGGAUGUCCAAUACCACCAUUGGUCUUGCAAGUUAGGAGGACUGGAUUCGGGGGAAAGUCGAAUGA
Molecule: non-coding RNA, 165 nt
Organism: Paenibacillus sp. MY03
Lineage: Bacteria; Bacillati; Bacillota; Bacilli; Caryophanales; Paenibacillaceae
Source: Rfam